This 57-nucleotide transfer RNA is filed under the name Bos taurus (domestic cattle). It matches the Rfam family "tRNA", at positions 8 to 63 of the family's 71-position model. Rfam says of the family: Transfer RNA (tRNA) molecules are approximately 80 nucleotides in length. RNAcentral also lists the same sequence under 1 other name. The record is from Rfam by way of RNAcentral. Lineage: Eukaryota; Metazoa; Chordata; Mammalia; Artiodactyla; Bovidae.
UGGCUCAGACGGUAAAGCAUCUGUCUACAACGCAGGAGACCUAGGUUCGAUCCCUGG